This 254-nucleotide ribosomal RNA is filed under the name uncultured bacterium. RNAcentral's name for it is "partial 16S ribosomal RNA". It matches the Rfam family "Bacterial small subunit ribosomal RNA", at positions 524 to 776 of the family's 1533-position model. The record is from RNAcentral.
GACGUAGGGAGCGAGCGUUGUCCGGAUUCAUUGGGCGUAAAGAGCGCGCAGGCGGUUUGGUAAGUCGGAUGUGAAAACCCGGGGCUCAACCCCGGGCGUGCAUCUCGAUACUGCCCGACUAGAGGUAGGUAGGGGAGAUCGGAAUUCCUGGUGUAGCGGUGAAAUGCGCAGAUAUCAGGAGGAACACCGACGGCGAAGGCAGGUCUCUGGGCAUUAACUGACGCUGAGGAGCGAAAGCAUGGGGAGCGAACAGG